Felis catus (domestic cat) is the source of this 2498-nucleotide long non-coding RNA. RefSeq lists it as uncharacterized. NCBI's taxonomy places the organism in Eukaryota, Metazoa, Chordata, Mammalia, Carnivora, Felidae. The record is from RefSeq and is a predicted model, not a curated record. The transcript has 4 exons.
AUAUUUUAUCUCCUCUAUUUUGCCUUUUCACUAUUUCUGAGUCUCUUGUCCUGAUAUUUGUUUCUACUUCUCUAUAGCUUUGCUUGUUUCUCAAUCUAUCUUUUUAUCCCAUUGUGAUGUUUUUAAAAGAAUUUUAUUUAUUCAGCUGUAUCAAUUCUGUUAUUCAACCAUCCACUAAUUCCCUUAUUUCAACAAUUAUAUUUUCAAAGUCAAAAUUUCGAAUUGAUUUUUCUUUAUAAUUGCUUCUUCCUGUGGCAUUUUUCAGUAGUCUUCCAUAUCUCUGUGGUGAUGUUAAUUGUACUUAUUUUGUACUUGUAUUUAUGUACUUGAUCAGUUUUUGAGGUUUUUUUUAAGUGGUUAACAUCUUUACUGCCUUGGAGGUGUUGGGGGGCAGGUACUCAGGAGCUGUUGGUGGGGCAGGCAGCUUCCUCUUCACUAUUACAGGCUUCUGGCUGCACAGGGUGGCACUGGCUCUGUGGACCGCAGCCAAGUACAGAUCUGGGUGGUACGUGUUCUCCUAGGUCAUAUGCCUGAAGUUGAGGGUGGCCAGUGUGUUGUUGAAGGUGGUCUGCACCAGGAAGUCACAGGGUUUCACUGGCUAGAUCUCUGCAUCCUGACCACCACUACACCUCUGCCAUAGCCCCAACUCCACGCCCACAGUCUUACAGUGAAUCAGCCCAUUGUAGCGAAGGAGUUGCAGCCUUCAGAUGACUGGGGUUCAUGCUGUAUGACUGCUUAUUCCUCUUGAUCAGGAAGCCAGAGCAAUUCCACUGGAGACCAUCCAUCACAGAAAAGGCCAAGGAGGAUAACGGAAAAGGAAGAGUUGUCCAAUCAAACAUCGUGGAGAACACAGACUAAGAAAUGACUCCCAGAAAAUAUCACUGAAGCAAAUCAAGGAACAGUCCCUACCAUUAGUGUAGAGGAACUUGCAACUUCUGUUCAGUGGAAUAUCAGAACUUUUAUUCACCAGUGACUGGUCACGGAAUCAAGAAGAGCAGCCAGCAGACAUGAUAUAUAUUCACCAGAUUCUGGACAUCUGAGCCCAAUGCCUGAAACAUGAGAAGCAGAGCUGAAUGCUCAAUCACAGUUAUCCCAUCCAUCCAUCAGACAAGAUGGAGGUGAAGGCCUGUGCAUGGCACACAGUGCUGCCAGUCUCUGUUGGGCAUGAAGAAGUCUGAAAGAGCUCACUCUUGUACAUGACUCUGCUGGGAGGAUCUUUCCUAUGACUUACAAGGUUCUCUUCCUCCCACCUAGGUACCACCUGCAAUUGCUGGUCCAGAAUGCCCAUCCUAAAGAGAAAUGAUAGCCAGAUGGAAUCAUCCUGGGAUGUAGUAUACAAAGAUACUACAAGAGAAAAGAUGGAAAGGGACAGAGCAUGGGGGCUAGGGAGCAGUGGUGUGGUGACAAAUUAAAAAGCAUCAGAAAUAUGCCAGAAAUGUGGCACUACAGCCCAGGCAAAAAUUAGCAUCAAGUCCAUGUAUCGCCAAGAAUUCACAAAAGGUAAUGAAGCUAUUGAUUGAUGAAAUAAGAAUUUUUCCAUUGGGUUAUGAGGGCCCAGGGAAGAUAAAGUGAAAUAAUAGGUGGAAAAAACAAGCCCUUAGGGAAAUAUGAGGGUUAUUUUGGAAGCAGCACCAAGGAGAAUAGACACUGCUGAGAACAUAUAAGGACGGUGGACGACAAGAGUGAGAAAGUGAAAUGGCAAUAAACAAGAAUUGGAAGGGAAUGUAGAUAAAUGAUCAAUAAAGAAGACACAUUCAUUGGAUCCAGAAUUAAUGAGAGAGGACUCUAAAUCCUAAAUGGCACAUCUUAUUCAAGGGAAUACAAAGUUACAUCAGAUUGUCAACACUAAGACAUAGCGUAGUGAAGUCCUGAAUAUCCAAGAUAGAGAUUUCCUAACAAUGGAAACAUUAUAUAAAUAGCACAAUUCAGAGAAAAAAAAAAAGGAAGGUAAUGUAAGGGUAGAGACUUCCUUAACUUUCACAGCCAGGCAGCAAAGCUGACAAACCAGCUAAUACAACUUUUUAAAAUAUACAAAUAUAAUAGAGUAAUAAAAAUCAAAAUCAGCUACUAGAAGGAGUACUAAGGAGAAGUGGAAAUUGCUGACUUCACCAUUAAUAUGGUAAGGAGUCAAAGAAUGCUGAUCAAAGAAAUAGAGGUCUUAAGUAAAGUAUACCACAUGCUUAUUAAAACAAACCACUAGAGAAAAAUUUAUAUUUUUCAUAUAAUCAGCAAAAAGCAAGAAAAAACACAGACCACAUAGUGAAAUGUAGAAAUAAAAAGGUCAACAAAAAAACAGAAGUGUAUCAUUAAUUAUGACAAAAAAUAAGAUCCAUCAAAUCCACUUUAAGAAAUGUAUCUUCCAAAUAUAUUCAUAUAUAUGUGAACGAGGUAUGUACAGAGAUGUCUACUGCACAGCUGUUUGUAACAGCAAAAGCCUGGGAACAAUUUAAAAGUUUAUUAAUGGCAACUGAUUCAAUAAAUUAUACCACAAAAUGGAA